UGAUGUUUUUCAUGAAUGACGUUGUGGAUUCGGCGUGAUUGAAGGCGGUUCGUCGAUUCGGAUCGUGGGCUCGUGGAUUCGAGUGGCGUUUGUGGAUUCGGACGUGUGCGAGGCGUUUGUGGAUUCGAACAUGAGGGCGUGGACAACCCGGAGGAUUGCGCGAGAUUCUUAAGAGGUUAAGAGAGGUCGAGUCCGUGGAGGCGGUAAUCA
This 210-nucleotide long non-coding RNA is filed under the name Ananas comosus (pineapple). RNAcentral's name for it is "long non-coding RNA (ACOM_LNC015126)". The record is from RNAcentral. Lineage: Eukaryota; Viridiplantae; Streptophyta; Magnoliopsida; Poales; Bromeliaceae.